GACGAACCGAGCGAACGUUGUUCGGAAUCACUGGGCUUAAAGGGCGCGUAGGCGGGUGCUCAAGUCCGUGGUGAAAUCCUCCGGCUCAACCGGAGAACUGCCUCGGAUACUGGGCGUCUCGAGUGUGGUAGGGGUAUGCGGAACUUUCGGUGGAGCGGUGAAAUGCGUUGAUAUCGAUAGGAACUCCGGUGGCGAAGGCGGCAUACUGGACCACCACUGACGCUGAUGCGCGAAAGCCAGGGGAGCAAACGGG
Molecule: ribosomal RNA, 253 nt
Filed under: uncultured bacterium
Lineage: Bacteria
Description: partial 16S ribosomal RNA
Rfam family: Bacterial small subunit ribosomal RNA
Source: RNAcentral